GAUAGGGUGACAGUAUUCUAGACAGUGUGAUAGGGUGACAGUAUUAGAGACUAGACAGUGUGAUAAGGUGACAGUAUUCUAGAAGGUGUGAUAGGGUGACAGUAUUAGAGACUAGACAGUGUGAUAGGGUGACAGUAUUCUAGACAGUGUGAUAGGGUGACAGUAUUAGAGACUAGACAGUGUGAUAGGGUGACAGUAUUAGAGACUAGACAGUGUGAUAUGGUGACAGUAUUCUAGACGCUGUGAUAGGGUGACAGUAUUAGAGACAGUGUGAUAGGGUGAUAGUAUUAGAGACGGUGUGAUAGGGUGACAGUAUUAGAGACUACACAGUGUGAUAGGGUGACAGUAUUAGAGACUAGACAGUGUGAUAGGGUGACAGUAUUAGAGACUAGACAGUGUGAUAUGGUGACAGUAUUAGAGACUAGACAGUGUGAUAGGGUGACAGUAUUAGAGAUUAGACAGUGUGA
This is a long non-coding RNA of Oncorhynchus tshawytscha (Chinook salmon), 467 nucleotides long. The record is from Ensembl. NCBI's taxonomy places the organism in Eukaryota, Metazoa, Chordata, Actinopteri, Salmoniformes, Salmonidae.